RNAcentral lists this ribosomal RNA (460 nucleotides) under uncultured bacterium. RNAcentral's name for it is "partial 16S ribosomal RNA". It matches the Rfam family "Bacterial small subunit ribosomal RNA", at positions 338 to 795 of the family's 1533-position model. The record is from RNAcentral.
UCUACGGGUGGCAGCAGUGAGGAAUAUUGGUCAAUGGACGAGAGUCUGAACCAGCCAAGUAGCGUGAAGGAUGACUGCCCUAUGGGUUGUAAACUUCUUUUAUAUGGGAAUAAAAUGUUCCACGUUUGGGAUUUUGUAUGUACCAUAUGAAUAAGGAUCGGCUAACUCCGUGCCAGCAGCCGCGGUAAUACGGAGGAUCCGAGAGUUAUCCGGAUUUAUUGGGUUUAAAGGGAGCGUAGGUGGAUUGUUAAGUCAGCUGUGACAGUUUGCGGCUCAACCGUAAAAUUGCAGUUGAAACUGGCAGUCUUGAGUACAGUAGAGGUGUGCGGAAUUCGUGGUGUAGCGGUGAAAUGCUUAGAUAUCACGAAGAACUCCGAUUGCGAAGGCAGUUCACUGGACUGCAACUGACACUGAGGCUCGAAAGUGUGGGUAUCAAACAGGAUUAGAUACCCGUGUAGUC